Long non-coding RNA from Cebus imitator (Panamanian white-faced capuchin), 1600 nucleotides. RefSeq lists it as uncharacterized. Lineage: Eukaryota; Metazoa; Chordata; Mammalia; Primates; Cebidae. The transcript is spliced from 3 exons. The record is from RefSeq and is a predicted model, not a curated record.
CCUCCUUAACCUCAGGACUUUGAAGAAAAAAGCGACUCAUUUUCCUUUACACAAGGGAAUGGCGUUUUUACUAAACCUCUGCAAGCGCUCCAAGCUGCGAGGGGCCCUCCACUGUUCUUCUUUCAACCCCCUCAACCAUAAAAGUUACAGGAAUCGACUUCUAAAUACAUCACACUCAAGUCAAAGCCUGAAGAGCUGAGGGAACAACCGCUAGCAGCCCAAAGGCAUGUCCUGAAUCUCAAUGUGGAGAAAUAGAUCUUCAGCUGAAAAUCAUCAAAGAUAAGUAACUGAGUGAGGCCUACUCAUCUGACUCAGCCCCACUCCUACCUCAUCAGAUACUCUAUUAUUUCUGCCUUUCCUCUCAAAGUUCACCACCAAAUAUUAAAACUUCUUUUUGAAGCAUAUUUGCAGGGAGAUUUUAAUUAUUUAUAGAACCGCAUUUGUAACUUUGUAGAUCCCCAAAGAGAAAUGUACACCUUGGCAAUUAAAGUUUUACAUGGAAAUGAUUUACUAUGCCACUUUUGUAAGAAUUGGUCUAGUCACACUACUAUUUGCAAUAGAACUACACACUAUGGCGCCCACAAUGUGGAAUUCUGGUUGUAAAAUUCUAACUGCUGUAAUAGUUUGCCUAAUUAUCAACCUUAUAACAGCAUUAACAAUUGCAGGAAAGAUUUAGUCAAAAUUGUGUUGCUGAUAGCAGGAGUAAUAGUUACAGAUAAGAAGCAAGCAUGAAAGUUUUACUAUCAAUAAGUUUAAUAGAAGUUUUUACUGAAGGUUAGUAAUAUAAUGCACUCUAAGCUAUAAAUCAAAGGUUAUAAAGAAAGAGAUUUUAUGCGAGAAAGGAUUUUGUAUGAUAAAUACUUGUUCUAAAAGGAAAUGACUGGUUGUUUAAAGAAUGAAGGUUUAGGACGAGUCAGAAUGUUUAAGUAUCUCGUUAGGGGGUCUGUGAAAGUUAUGAAAUAAUAAAGGAAAAAAAUUGUCAAGAUUAACACUAAAGUUAUUUUAGCCACCCAGUAAUGUAUUUCUCCCAAGCAUAUUGCAAGUUAUGAAAAUGGCCUAAGCCUAAAGUUAUUCUCUAAUGGCAAGUCAAAGGGAAAAAGUAUGCUUUUCUCAAGGAAAAUGUUACUUUUAUAUUAACACUUCUGUAAUGUGCAGCGACAUCUAGUGGAGGCAAGCCAGUAUUGCAAUCCAUUAGUGUACGCAGGUAUCAAACUCAGGGUCUGCAGGACCCCCACUAACGGUGGUAAUUUUAAUAGUCAUAUUCUAACCCUGUAUUUUAAACCUUCUUGUAAAAUUUAUCUCUUGUCACCUAGAAGCAAUCAAACUCCAAAUGGUGCUCCAAGCAAAGCCACACGUGGACAUACCAUCUUCGAAGAACCCUUAGAUCAGCCUCAGGAGAAGGCCCAGCUGCUUGUUCCCCACACGAUACUCAUUGUCAGCAGAAAGUAGCCAGAAAGAAUCGUCAUCCAACCCCCGCUGAAAGCAUCACCAGGUAUGCCAAGUGUCAUGGCUGCCUCCAGGUAACCCCAUGUGCUCACGGCAUCAUGGCGGCCCACAUUUGCAUGUUAAAUGGCUAAGGUGGGAGGGCCAGGUUUUUCUG